UACGGGGGGGGCAAGCGUUGUUCGGAAUUACUGGGCGUAAAGGGCUCGUAGGUGGCCAACUAAGUCAGACGUGAAAUCCCUCAGCUUAACUGGGGAACUGCGUCUGAUACUGGAUGGCUUGAGUUUGGGAGAGGGAUGCGGAAUUCCAGGUGUAGCGGUGAAAUGCGUAGAUAUCCGGAGGAACACCGGUGGCGAAGGCGGCUUCCUGGACCGACACUGACGCUGAGGCGCGAAAGCUAGGGGAGCAAACGGG
RNAcentral lists this ribosomal RNA (253 nucleotides) under uncultured bacterium. RNAcentral's name for it is "partial 16S ribosomal RNA". It matches the Rfam family "Bacterial small subunit ribosomal RNA", at positions 524 to 776 of the family's 1533-position model. The record is from RNAcentral.